GUGCUUGCUUUGGCAGCACAUAUACUAAAAUUGGAAUGAUACAGAGAAGAUUUUAGCAUGGCCCCUGUGUAAGGAUGAUAUGCAAAUUCACGAAGUGUUCCAUAUUUUU
RNAcentral lists this small nuclear RNA (109 nucleotides) under Propithecus coquereli (Coquerel's sifaka). The record is from RNAcentral. Lineage: Eukaryota; Metazoa; Chordata; Mammalia; Primates; Indriidae.